GUUCUUAUAUCAGUAGCACAUACACAAAAAUUAGAAAAAUACAGCAAUUAGCAUGGUUCUUCUGCAAGGAUGACAUGAGUUCAUGAAGUAUUCCACAUAUUU
Molecule: small nuclear RNA, 102 nt
Organism: Nannospalax galili (Upper Galilee mountains blind mole rat)
Lineage: Eukaryota; Metazoa; Chordata; Mammalia; Rodentia; Spalacidae
Source: Ensembl